UAGUCCACGCUGUAAACGAUGUCUACUUGGAGGUUGCGGUCUUGAACUGUGGCUUUCGUAGCUAACGCGUUAAGUAGACCGCCUGGGGAGUACGGUCGCAAGAUUAAAACUCAAAUGAAUUGACGGGGGCCCGCACAAGCGGUGGAGCAUGUGGUUUAAUUCGAUGCAACGCGAAGAACCUUACCUACUCUUGACAUCCAGAGAAUCCUGUAGAGAUAUGGGAGUGCCUUAGGGAGCUCUGAGACAGGUGCUGCAUGGCUGUCGUCAGCUCGUGUUGUGAAAUGUUGGGUUAAGUCCCGCAACGAGCGCAACCCUUAUCCUUGUUUGCCAGCACUUCGGGUGGGAACUUCAGGGAGACUGCCGGUGAUAAACCGGAGGAAGGUGGGGACGACGUCAAGUCAUCAUGGCCCUUACGAGUAGGGCUACACACGUGCUACAAUGGCGCAUACAGAGGGGUGCGAGCCAGCGAUGGUGAGCGAAUCUCAAAAGUGCGUCGUAGUCCGG
This 504-nucleotide ribosomal RNA is filed under the name uncultured bacterium. Its description in RNAcentral is "bacterial SSU rRNA". It matches the Rfam family "Bacterial small subunit ribosomal RNA", at positions 791 to 1296 of the family's 1533-position model. The record is from RNAcentral.